GGACGAACGCUGGCGGCGUGCUUAACACAUGCAAGUCGAGCGGUAAGGCCCUUUCGGGGGUACACGAGCGGCGAACGGGUGAGUAACACGUGGGUGACCUGCCCUUAGCUCUGGGAUAAGCCUGGGAAACUGGGUCUAAUACCGGAUAUGACUCCAUGACGCAUGUUGUGGGGUGGAAAGCCUUGUGCGGCUAGGGAUGGGCCCGCGGCCUAUCAGCUUGUUGGUGGGGUGAUGGCCUACCAAGGCGACGACGGGUAGCCGGCCUGAGAGGGCGACCGGCCACACUGGGACUGAGACACGGCCCAGACUCCUACGGGAGGCAGCAGUGGGGAAUCUUGCGCAAUGGCGAAAGCCUGACACAGCAACGCCGCGUGAGGGAUGACGGCC
This 387-nucleotide ribosomal RNA is filed under the name uncultured bacterium. RNAcentral describes it as "bacterial SSU rRNA". It matches the Rfam family "Bacterial small subunit ribosomal RNA", at positions 27 to 416 of the family's 1533-position model. The record is from RNAcentral.